Molecule: ribosomal RNA, 491 nt
Filed under: uncultured bacterium
Lineage: Bacteria
Description: partial 16S ribosomal RNA
Rfam family: Bacterial small subunit ribosomal RNA
Source: RNAcentral
UUGAACGCUGGCGGCAUGCUUUACACAUGCAAGUCGAACGGUAACAGGCCUUCGGGUGCUGACGAGUGGCGAACGGGUGAGUAAUGCAUCGGAACGUACCCAGAGGUGGGGGAUAACGCAGCGAAAGCUGUGCUAAUACCGCAUGUGAUCUGAGGAUGAAAGCGGGGGACCGAGCAGCAAUGUUUGGCCUCGCGCCUUUGGAGCGGCCGAUGUCGGAUUAGCUAGUUGGUGGGGUAAAGGCCUACCAAGGCGACGAUCCGUAGCUGUUCUGAGAGGACGACCAGCCACACUGGGACUGAGACACGGCCCAGACUCCUACGGGAGGCAGCAGUGGGGAAUUUUGGACAAUGGGCGCAAGCCUGAUCCAGCAAUGCCGCGUGCGGGAAGAAGGCCUUCGGGUUGUAAACCGCUUUUGGCAGGAACGAAACGGUGUCCGCUAAUACCGGGCGCUAAUGACGGUACCUGCAGAAUAAGCACCGGCUAACUACGUG